AGUGAAGCGGCAACAGCUCAAAUUUGAAAUCUGGCCCUUGUGGUCCGAGUUGUAAUUUGUAGAGGAUGCUUUUGGUGAGGUACCUUCCGAGUUCCCUGGAACGGGACGCCAUAGAGGGUGAGAGCCCCGUCUGGUUGGAUACCGAGCCUCUGUAAAGCUCCUUCGACGAGUCGAGUAGUUUGGGAAUGCUGCUCUAAAUGGGAGGUAUAUGUCUUCUAAAGCUAAAUAUUGGCCAGAGACCGAUAGCGCACAAGUAGAGUGAUCGAAAGAUGAAAAGCACUUUGAAAAGAGGGUUAAAUAGUACGUGAAAUUGUUGAAAGGGAAGCGCUUGUGACCAGACUUGGGCUUGGUUAAUCAUCCAGGGUUCUCCCUGGUGCACUUGGCCAGCCCAGGCCAGCAUCAGUUUGUCGCGGGGGAUAAAGGCGUCGGGAAUGUGGCUCCCCCGGGAGUGUUAUAGCCCUUCGUGUAAUACCCUGCUUUAGACUGAGGUUCGCGCAUCUGCAAGGAUGCUGGCGUAAUGGUCAUCAGCGACCCGUCUUGAAACACGGACCAAGGAGUCGUCUUCGUAUGCGAGUGUUCGGGUGUCAAACCCCUACGCGUAAUGAAAGUGAACGCAGGUGAGAGCUUCGGCGCAUCAUCGACCGAUCCUGAUGUUCUCGGAUGGAUUUGAGUAAGAGCAUACGGGGCCGGACCCGAAAGAAGGUGAACUAUGCCUGUGUAGGGUGAAGCCAGAGGAAACUCUGGUGGAGGCUCGCAGCGGUUCUGACGUGCAAAUCGAUCGUCAAAACAUGGGCAUGGGGGCGAAAGACUA
RNAcentral lists this ribosomal RNA (811 nucleotides) under Nectria dematiosa. RNAcentral describes it as "eukaryotic LSU rRNA". It matches the Rfam family "Eukaryotic large subunit ribosomal RNA", at positions 92 to 933 of the family's 3401-position model. The record is from RNAcentral. Lineage: Eukaryota; Fungi; Ascomycota; Sordariomycetes; Hypocreales; Nectriaceae.